CCUACGGGUGGCAGCAGUGAGGAAUAUUGGUCAAUGGGCGCGAGCCUGAACCAGCCAAGUAGCGUGAAGGAUGACUGCCCUACGGGUUGUAACCUUCUUUUAUCAAGGAAUAAAGUGAGGCACGUGUGCCUAUUUGUAUGUACUUUAUGAAUAAGGAUCGGAUAACUCCGUGUCAGCAGACGCGGUAAUACGGAGGAUCCGAGCGUUAGCCGGAUUUAUUGGGUUUAAAGGGAGCGUAGAUGGGUUGGUAAGUCAGUUGUGAAAGUUUGCGGCUCAACCGGAAAAUUGCAAUUGAUACUGGCAGCCUUGAGUACAGUUGAGGUAGGCGGAAUUCGUGGUGUAGCGGUGAAAUGCUUAGAUAUCACGAAGAACUCCGAUUGCGAAGGCAGCUUACUAAACUGCCACUGACAUUGAUGCUCGAAAGUGUGGGUAUCAAACAGGAUUAGAUACCCGAGUAGUC
This 460-nucleotide ribosomal RNA is filed under the name uncultured bacterium. RNAcentral's name for it is "partial 16S ribosomal RNA". It matches the Rfam family "Bacterial small subunit ribosomal RNA", at positions 338 to 795 of the family's 1533-position model. The record is from RNAcentral.